GACGAACGCUGGCGGCGUGCUUAACACAUGCAAGUCGAACGGAAAGGCCCUGCUUUUGUGGGGUGCUCGAGUGGCGAACGGGUGAGUAACACGUGAGUAACCUGCCCUUGACUUUGGGAUAACUUCAGGAAACUGGGGCUAAUACCGGAUAGGAGCUCCUGCUGCAUGGUGGGGGUUGGAAAGUUUCGGCGGUUGGGGAUGGACUCGCGGCUUAUCAGCUUGUUGGUGGGGUAGUGGCUUACCAAGGCUUUGACGGGUAGCCGGCCUGAGAGGGUGACCGACCACAUUGGGACUGAGAUACGGCCCAGACUCAUACGGGAGGCAGGAGUGGGGAAUAUUGCACAAUGGGCGGAAGCCUGAUGCAGCAACGCCGCGUGCGGGAUGACGGCCUUCGGGUUGUAAACCGCUUUCGCCUGUGACGAAGCGUGAGUGACGGUAAUGGGUAAAGAAGCACCGGCUAACUACGU
This 467-nucleotide ribosomal RNA is filed under the name uncultured bacterium. Its description in RNAcentral is "partial 16S ribosomal RNA". It matches the Rfam family "Bacterial small subunit ribosomal RNA", at positions 28 to 506 of the family's 1533-position model. The record is from RNAcentral.